AGAAAAGCCAAAUGCCAUGAAUUCUUGUUCCUCUGAAUGUCUGAGCAAGUGAGGAUCAGAGGAGGACUGUGGAGGGAACCACUCCUUUAAUAAAAAUUCUGUGGCCCUUCCUCUGAAAGCCACUCCAGACCCCACCGAGUCCUGGCUGUCACGCUGCACAGCACAGGGGCCAGCAUCCACACUGCACCUGUGUGGCCCUCCUUGGGCGUACAGACCACCUACCAGACCCCCAACUUGCAGCACUGAGUCCCAGGACCAUGGAGACUGGGAGCCUCUUCUGCAUGCAAGGACGGGCUUAGUGUUGAUGAGCCUGGGGAAACAUCUUUGCUGUCAAGUCUUCCAUUUCUGCAGAAGGGAUUCAGCCAUGAAAACUUGACAGGAAAAUCAUGACUUCCAAAUUACAUAUGCAAAUUCCUUUCCUUUCUAGAUGUUGAUGUCUCUCCAAAUCUCUCGCGGUUCAUGCAUUGGAUACCUUGCCUGACCCAGCAGGCUGCAGGAUGAGGAGCACAGUGAGGAGCUGGGGUCUCACUCCCACAGGUGGGCCCCAGAAGCACAGAGCAGGGGCAGGAGCAGACUGGAUGAUGGAUGGCACAGGGUCCCUCCGGGAUCAGAGGUUUCUUUUUGGCCUGGCAGCAGAGGUGGUUAUCCCAAGACUAGCUCAUGUCUUGUUGUGGCACCCACUUCUACAUUCUGGAGAAUUCAAGAUCUGAGUCUUUCCUCCUACAUUUUACUUUAAGCACCAAGGAGAAACCAGGACAUGACUUCAACACUUUGCUUGGAAAUCUCCUAAGUCCAUGUUCAUCAGCAACAAGCUUUACUUUCCAUAAAAAGUUGAGGGCUCACCGAAAGAUGAUCUCAUCUUAAUUAAUUACAGCUGCAAAGACCCUGUUUUCAAAUAAGGUCAUGAACUCUGAAGUUCCAGGCGGACUCGUAUUUUGGUGGGGGAACACCAUUCUACCCAGCAUAGACAUUAAUCCACCCAUUUCAGAAGCCUAGUGCAUCCCUAGAAGGAAAAUUAAGGAAGUCCACACCUAGAAAAAUCACAGUGCAACUGCACAAGGCCAAAGAUAGAGUGUCUCAGAAGCCGUAAGAGAAAGAGGUCAGAAGUCAUCAAGUGAAGUGUGAAGUUUUUGCAGACAUGUCAAGCAUGAUUGAAAAUACCCAAUUAUAGAAUGUACCAAGUUUUUCACUGCUUGAGGUGAAAAAAAUGCUUUGAGGUUGGGAGAGCAGAAAGGAGGGUGGC
Molecule: long non-coding RNA, 1243 nt
Filed under: Homo sapiens (human)
Lineage: Eukaryota; Metazoa; Chordata; Mammalia; Primates; Hominidae
Description: HSALNT0340755
Source: RNAcentral